CGGAAAGGUCUCUUCGGAGAUACUCGAGUGGCGAACGGGUGAGUAACACGUGGGUGAUCUGCCCUGCACUUCGGGAUAAGCCUGGGAAACUGGGUCUAAUACCGGAUAGGACCACGGGAUGCAUGUCUUGUGGUGGAAAGCGCUUUAGCGGUGUGGGAUGAGCCCGCGGCCUAUCAGCUUGUUGGUGGGGUGACGGCCUACCAAGGCGACGACGGGUAGCCGGCCUGAGAGGGUGUCCGGCCACACUGGGACUGAGAUACGGCCCAGACUCCUACGGGAGGCAGCAGUGGGGAAUAUUGCACAAUGGGCGCAAGCCUGAUGCAGCGACGCCGCGUGGGGGAUGACGGCCUUCGGGUUGUAAACCUCUUUCACCAUCGACGAAGGUCCGGGUUCUCUCGGAUUGACGGUAGGUGGAGAAGAAGCACCGGCCAACUACGUGCCAGCAGCCGCGGUAAUACGUAUGGUGCGAGCGUUGUCCGGAAUUACUGGGCGUAAAGAGCUCGUAGGUGGUUUGUCGCGUUGUUCGUGAAAUCUCACGGCUUAACUGUGAGCGUGUGGGCGAUACGGGCAAACUAGAGUACUGCGGGGGAGACUGGAAUUCCUGGUGUAGCGGUGGAUUGCGC
Molecule: ribosomal RNA, 623 nt
Filed under: Mycobacterium tuberculosis
Lineage: Bacteria; Bacillati; Actinomycetota; Actinomycetes; Mycobacteriales; Mycobacteriaceae
Description: bacterial SSU rRNA
Rfam family: Bacterial small subunit ribosomal RNA
Source: RNAcentral